CAAUAAAGAAAGAAUAAAAUUAUUACUUUCUAAUAUUUUAUAUGACUUUCUGUGAAUAUAUAUAACAUCUUGAAUAAUAUAUGACUUUCUGUAUCUUUAUAUGAUAUCCUGAAUAAUAUAUAUGACUUCUUAAUAUCUUAUAUGACUUUUUGAAAAUAUAUAUAACAUCCUAAAUAAUAUAUAUGACUUAAUUUUUAUGAAUAUAUAUGAUAUUUUGAAUAAUAUAUAUGACUUUCUGAUAUCUUAUAUGAUUUUCUAUCAAUAUAUAUGAUAUUCUAAAUAAUAUAUAUAACUUUUUAUGAAUAUAUAUGAU
This 313-nucleotide long non-coding RNA is filed under the name Elaeis guineensis (African oil palm). Its description in RNAcentral is "long non-coding RNA (EGUI_LNC028519)". The record is from RNAcentral. Lineage: Eukaryota; Viridiplantae; Streptophyta; Magnoliopsida; Arecales; Arecaceae.